This is a long non-coding RNA of Melitaea cinxia (Glanville fritillary), 202 nucleotides long. RefSeq lists it as uncharacterized. The record is from RefSeq and is a predicted model, not a curated record. Lineage: Eukaryota; Metazoa; Arthropoda; Insecta; Lepidoptera; Nymphalidae. The transcript is spliced from 2 exons.
AUCCCUUGCGGUUAUACCUACGUUGUCACCACAUCGUCCACAUCUUAUGUUCAUAUAAAUUAAGUUAUUACAAGUUAGUACAGCUAUAAGUUAAUAGCAAAACUACAACGAGUACCUAGCAACUAUUAUUUGAAGAUUAUUCAAUACUAGCGGCCCACCCCGGCUUCGCACGGGUGCAAUGCUGAUAAUAAAUAUAAAAUAA